This 253-nucleotide ribosomal RNA is filed under the name uncultured Eubacteriales bacterium. RNAcentral's name for it is "uncultured Clostridiales bacterium partial 16S ribosomal RNA". It matches the Rfam family "Bacterial small subunit ribosomal RNA", at positions 524 to 776 of the family's 1533-position model. Lineage: Bacteria; Bacillati; Bacillota; Clostridia; Eubacteriales. The record is from RNAcentral.
UACGUAGGGGGCGAGCGUUAUCCGGAUUUACUGGGUGUAAAGGGAGCGUAGACGGAAUUGCAAGUCUGAUGUGAAAAUCCGGGGCCCAACCCCGGAACUGCAUUGGAAACUGUAUUUCUAGAGUAUGGGAGAGGUAGGUGGAAUUCCUAGUGUAGCGGUGAAAUGCGUAGAUAUCAGGAGGAACACCGGCGGCGAAGGCGGCCUGCUGGACGAUGACUGACGUUGAGGCUCGAAAGCGUGGGGAGCAAACAGG